RNAcentral lists this long non-coding RNA (4439 nucleotides) under Marmota monax (woodchuck). The record is from RNAcentral. Lineage: Eukaryota; Metazoa; Chordata; Mammalia; Rodentia; Sciuridae.
GGCGCUCCUCCCUGCCUAACUCAGCCAGAGUCGGCCCGCAGAGCCUUCGGUGCAGCCGGGUCUCUGGUCCGAAAGCUAAAUCUGAAGUGUGCGGACACCUGCGGGGAAGAAAUCGCCAUUUAUCUCACCGACUAGGAAAUGGGCAGAGACACACUGUCACGAAUCGCGUUGUCCACAACAGAAGGUAAAAAAAUAAGAGAUAGAAAAAGCUAGCGUUGGUCUCUGCAUUAUCAGCAUCUCCAGUAUUUCUGCGACUCAAUCACUGACCAAAGUUGGGCGCGGAGAUAAGGCCACUGAAAUGGGGAGCACAGCGUCAUCCUUUUUUUCUCCUGCACUAGUAAAUUAACGGUUAUCUUGCACCCUGGAGCCUAGUUAACGUACAAAUACUUGUGGGUGUUUUGUGGGUAGCGCUGCUCGUCCUCAGGAAUGCAAAAUAGUUCAUUAACUUUCAUAAGAGUUUGUUAGGCAGGUGGCCAACUCAACUACAAGUUUUAUUUUUCUGCUUUUAAUAGCUAUUACAAUUAAUUUUGGAGAGAAUGGAAAUGCACGCCUCUAAGAAAUACGGUACAGCAGAGUCGCUCUAAGAAUGCAUUUAAACAAAGCUUUUUUAAAAAAGAAUUCCUUUUUAUGCAGGAAUGUAUUUUAAAAAAAAAAAAAACUUUCUUCCAUCUCCCUCAAAAAAAUCCUUCAUAAAAAUGUCUAAAACAAAAUUAAAUUUCCAACAAAUCGAAAGAAUUAAUAAACUAUUUCAAUGCUGCAUUCCAUUUUUGAGCUAAAUAUUUAAAAUCAUAUAGAAGCUUUUCUCGUUUCAUCUUUAGUCAAGCCCUCUCAAGUAGGAUCGGUGUAGGUGUAGGAAACAGAUUAAGAAAUUCGAUGUCCUUGUACUGAGCACAUACAUAGUAGACUGACAAUAAAUAUUUGUUGGGUGAAGUAAAUUGCUGAACUGCUUCUAACAUUACUUUUCUAUGAUUCUAUCAGAAUGUUAGAAGUUAACCAGGCUCAGAGAAAUGGGAACAAAGGCUGUUUAGGAAAGACUGAAACUAAUGUGGACAGUUGGAAAGGCAGGUAUCCCCCGUGCCUUUGGUGAUGUUAAGUUCUUCCCUGACCACCAGGCACUAGAUUUCUAUUUGUGCUGGUGCUUUUCCCCAGCGCUGCUGGCGAUGCUCAGGGAGACUUAUUCCUUGAGAUAUUUCAAUCUCUCUAGGAGUCUCUCUGAGACUAAUUUGGGAGCAGUGCACGCCUGCUAGGACAGGAGACAAAAGGUCACAGGAACCUUCCAGCCCUUUCCUUGGAACCACCUAAUAAACACCAAUGAGUUUUACCUUUUGUGUAUCUCUUUAAAGGGUGUUUUUUGUUUGUUUGUUUGUUUGUUUGUUUGUUUUUAACCUCUGCUGGAGCAUGUGAAUUCUUGACCACAGCAAAAAUGUGUUAUUAUCCCUGUUCUUCCAGUGAUGAACCUAAGUUCAGCAAUGAGUCCUGGGUCACCCAGAGAUCCAGGGGAGAGUCAAGGAUUGGCUUAAGCACUUUGGUCCUACUUUGGCCUCUGCUCUGAAGUCCCAGAAACUUCUGCUGAGGAGUCCCCAGUUGGCGUUGCAAGACUCACAGUGGGUUUGCCAGUGCAUCCUUGUUUGUUCGGUUUUUGUUUUGUUUACUUCCCUGCACCACUUCUGAUUUUACCACUUGGAGUUAGGAGUGGCACCCUUGUAAUAUAACAUGAAACUUUUUUUGUUUGUUUGCUUAUCAAAUCAUUCUCGUUUUUUUUCCAAAUCUCCUUGUGCUAUCUACAUUUCUACCUUUAAAAACAGGCAUUUCAGUGUUUCUGCCCCACAAACCUGUUGCAAGCAAACUAUAUACUUCCACCACCGGAGCAGAUUGUAUGUGCAGGGGUUGGCAAACUGAGCUUUUAUUUUAUUUAUUGCUUUUAAGCCCAAGCAUGCGGGUCAAGAUGAAAUCAUUAACCCGCAUUUAAAAUUAAUGUUAACAAAGUCCAGAAAAAAAGACUUGCUACCUUUGGGUAACUACACUGAGGGGAAGCGGGACAGUGCGAGAAGGGAGAGAACAGAAGAGGGAAAGACAGUUUCCUAAACUGAAAGUAAACUACUAGCUGAGCAGCCCUUGAACUAGUUCAAGCUCUAAAAACUAUAUAGUGAGAAAACAAUAAACCGCGACAAUUGAACUCAAGAGGGGAGAUGGGAUUGGGGUUGGGGAAGCCUAGAACGGUGGAGUUGACACCUGGGACUUGGAACAGAAAAAGAGGACAAGUCCCUGGGAAUGUUCUGGCUGAGAUGGGGCUAGCCUUUCCCCCUGUGUCUACUUCAUGGGGCCCAGAAGUAGGGAAAGCAGAUUACUAGAGCUUCCUGGAGGAGCUAGACUGGUGGCUUCCAGGUGGAUGGACCCAAGAACAUUUCCUCUCCAGCACUCCCUCAACUCCUCAGCAAGAAUCUGCAAAAGAGCACGGGCUGCCCUUUCUAGACAUCCUGCCUAUCUCCACCUAUCCCCCUCCCAGCCUGUCCUUCCUUCCCUACACCCCCAUCUGUUUUACUUGGGGACAAGCAGCUGUAAUCAUGAUCCUGUUGGAUUACACUCCAUCCUCCUUCCCUGAAUGCCUCCAGAGAACCCCUCUCCCACUAAUCUCUGGGAAGUGAAAUGCUGUGGGGGGAGGUGGGAGAGGGUUUUUCCUGGGAAGAACUUCAGGAUGUCUGAGAAGCUACCAUACUGAAUUGGAAAUUAUGUGCCUUUUCCUUGGGGGAAAAUUAUAAUACUUUUGAUUGGACUAUGAAAGGAAUCCACAGUUAUGCAAACUGGCCAGUAAACUAAAUUCUCAGAAGAAAUAGAGAGCUUGAACUUGUUGUUCCAUUGUCUGUGCGACCCUAGUCAGUUAUUCUUUCACUCCUCAGUUGCCUCAUCUGCAAAAUGGGAAGGGUGCCCUUUCUUGGCCUGGCUCCUUGUGAAGACUGGGUAAUAAUGAGGCUAGAAUGUCUUUGAGUUCUAGCUCCAUUAUAGACAUUCCUUUCUUCCUGAGGUGACAGUACUUGCAGCCUACAGAGAGCCAGGUUGCUGAAUGCUUCCUGGAGCUUGACUGAAAGGAGGAGACAAAAGGACUCCGGCUCUGCUCUAGAGGUCUCUUUCUUAAAAGGGGCCAAGGGGGGACCGAUGAUGUGUUCAGUGAAGUGCUUUUGGCUUGUAAACUGACACUAUAUUACAACAUACAGUUCAGAGUCCCUCUUGCAAAUUACCAAGCACAAGCACCUCAGUUGAUUCAGUGAGUGGAUCUCUGUGAGGCGGUGAGAGGGGUGGGGUUCCCGCAUGCUCCCCUCUUCCUCCAGCCCCCAAUCUCUCUUGAUCUGCACCCCUUCCCAUCUGGUGAGAACCCCUUUAGCAAGACAAGCAAGGGAACCCGAAUUUAAAAAAAAAAAAAAAAAUCAGGAGGGAGCAGAGUUCUUUUUCUUUUCUUGGUGUGACUUUUUUUUUUCCUUUUCUCCAAACACCUCUCCAAAAUAAAAACUAAUAGUAAAUUAAAUAAAAGGAGGAAGAGCGUUUCAAAUUGUCUCCCACUCACUCAUCCAACAUCUCCGGGCUGGCCAUGGAGCCGCGGCCCCUCUGCCCGACUCCAGCAUGCUUAUGCCUUUCACAGGGCCCAGGCUGCCAGGAGAUGAGCUUGUGCUCUGUGGAUUCCCAGCCAGGGCUCUGCGCCUCCGCGCGGGAAACCCAGAGCCCAGAUGUCGGAGCCACUCCUUGGCCCAGGGGAUGCUAAGAAGGAUCCUUAACCUUUCUCUGUGCCUCCCCUUCCUCAACUGCAAAAUAGAAUUAGCCUUAGAGUACUUGGCAACCUGACAGGGUGACUCGCCCAUGCUGAGCAUUCAGUACUUGAGAGUUAUUUAUAUUAUUGUUAUCAUUUCAUCUCAACCAACUGGCCCAUACAGAGCUCCAGACUGGGGGAAAUUCAAGUCCUGAUUUCCUCCGGACUCCGCCCAACUGCCCAGACUCUCUGGCCUCGAGAUGCAGAAAGAAUCCUCCCCCCUUUCUACCACCAGCUCAGAUGCCGUGCUAAAUCAACCUGCCGCAGAGCCAGGGGUGGUGACUGAUGUUUAGAAACUUCUGGGCAUCUUGUAGAAGGACCUUUCUGUGGCUAGUUAUGGCUCUAAUUUCUCCAAAGAUGACCUCGAAUCCACCUCCUCUCGUGGAAAGCUUCUCUUAGCAUUGUACAGUCUCACGACUUUGACCGGCUGUGGAUGUAGCGAAAUAAAUAAUCCCAGAUGGGACUGCAGAGAUAUGAUUUCCCAAUUUAUUUUGUGUAAUCAAAUAUACGACCUGUCACAAUCAGUGGGGGUGGAGGUGAGGGAAAGGAACUUGGGGGAGAUAACUGUUCUCCACUAGGCUGCUAGAAUUCUCUCUUUCUCUGCAUGUCCAAAAGUAAAGACAACUGGGCUCUCAUCUCC